AGGGAAUCUUCCGCAAUGGACGAAAGUCUGACGGAGCAACGCCGCGUGAGUGAAGAAGGCCUUCGGGUCGUAAAACUCUGUUGCCGGGGAAGAACAAGUGCCGUUCGAACAGGGCGGCGCCUUGACGGUACCUAACCAGAAAGCCACGGCUAACUACGUGCCAGCAGCCGCGGUAAUACGUAGGUGGCAAGCGUUGUCCGGAAUUAUUGGGCGUAAAGCGCGCGCAGGCGGUUUCUUAAGUCUGAUGUGAAAUCUUGCGGCUCAACCGCAAGCGGCCAUUGGAAACUGGGAGGCUUGAGUGCAGAAGAGGAGAGUGGAAUUCCACGUGUAGCGGUGAAAUGCGUAGAGAUGUGGAGGAACACCAGUGGCGAAGGCGGCUCUCUGGUCUGUAACUGACGCUGAGGCGCGAAAGCGUGGGGAGCAAAC
This 426-nucleotide ribosomal RNA is filed under the name uncultured bacterium. RNAcentral's name for it is "bacterial SSU rRNA". It matches the Rfam family "Bacterial small subunit ribosomal RNA", at positions 356 to 773 of the family's 1533-position model. The record is from RNAcentral.